AAUGAACGCUGGCAACAGGCUUAACACAUGCAAGUGAAACUUGUUAACUCUUUUGUUAAUAAGUCGCAAACGGGUGAGUAACACGUGAGAAUCUACCUACUAGCCCGGCAUAAAAAUUGUUUUUUUUUCUUUUUGGGUAAAAAAAACAAAUAAUUCCGGAUACUAUAAAAAGGUUAAACCCGCUAGUACUACAAAGAUGAGCUCGCGCAAGAUUAGGUAGUUGGUAAGAUAAAAGCUUCACCAAGCCAAAGAUCUUUAGCCGAUUUGAGAGGAUGAUCGGCCACACUGGGACUGAGACACGGCCCAGACACUUUUAAGUGGCAGCAGUGAGGAAUCUUGGACAAUGAACGAAAGUUUGAUCCAGCCAUGUUGCAUGAGGGAAGAAGGCUCUUUUGGUUGUAAACCUUUGAUUUAAGAGAGGAUAAUGACGUACUCUUAAAAAUUAGUCCCGGCUAAUUCUGUGCCAGCCGCCGCCGUAACAC
This 482-nucleotide ribosomal RNA is filed under the name uncultured bacterium. RNAcentral describes it as "partial 16S ribosomal RNA". It matches the Rfam family "Bacterial small subunit ribosomal RNA", at positions 29 to 526 of the family's 1533-position model. The record is from RNAcentral.